RNAcentral lists this long non-coding RNA (665 nucleotides) under Sarcophilus harrisii (Tasmanian devil). Its description in RNAcentral is "lncRNA (ENSSHAG00000028044.1)". Lineage: Eukaryota; Metazoa; Chordata; Mammalia; Dasyuromorphia; Dasyuridae. The record is from RNAcentral.
AGAAAAUACGGUGGUUGGACAUUGGGAAUGAAAACGAGCAACAACCUCCCCUUUCCCUCCCGAGACUAAAAUGUUCCUCCUUCGAGUCCAGCCCUGCCCUCAAGGACAGAGAGAGCAAACCAGACGUCACUGAAGGAUACCUUGUGGGUCUGAACAUCCUAGACCCGAUUCCUUUUUUUCCAUCUGCAUCCUUCAUGGGCAACAGAUUUCUUUGACGAAAGAAUAGAGGAAUAGGAAGAGAACUGGAUUUCCAAACAUAGGACAGCCAAAUUUCUGAGUUAAGUUUAGAGAUGAAGAAUCACGAAUUGGGCUGUUACAGGACAAAAUCGAUUAAUUGAGAGGAAAAAUUGAUCCUUGGUGCUAUUCUCCUGGUUUCCUUGCAUCCCUACCCUUUUUUGCUCACUGAAAUCAAGAUUCCUAUCCAUAAUGCUAACAGGACACUUGACAGGAGUGGGAUACUUCUUUUUCUGAAAUCAGAGACCCACAAGUUUGUUCUUUUUUUCUUGGAAGAUCUACCAGUUAGAAAUCAGAUUACCUAAUGUUAUAUUGUUUCCUUUUAAUUAAUUGUGAGUAUUUGUCAUUGUUUUUAAGGUAUAAAAAGUCUGUUUGCCCCUGUAUUGGGAUCCAGGCCUAAGCUAAGGAAGUCUGGUCCCAGCUUAUUGAAC